UGAUAACGCUGUGGCCUUGGCGCGCUCAGUCGUGGCCACCCGUCAGAGGAGGAACCAUGGUAAAGAAGAAAGUGAAGGAGAUGAUGACGUCACGGAACAAAAUGUCGUUCUUCGGAGUCAACCCGUUCGGUACCCCCGUAGGCCAGAAGAUCGAACAGGCAACAGCAGAGACCUUGCCUUCAGAGGACUGGGGACUUAAUCUGGAAGUGUGUGACCUGAUCAAUGAGUCCGAGGAUGGUCCCCGCGACGCCAUUAAGGCCAUCAGGAAGCGCCUCGCCACCCAGCCCAAGAACUACACAGUCGUCAUGUACACCUUGACGCUGUUGGAGUCAUGCGUCAAGAACUGUGGGAAGCGCUUCCAUAUUCUGGCCUGCAGUAAGGACUUUGUGCAGGACUUGGUAAAGCUCAUUGGGCCCAAGAAUGAGCCGCCAGCUGCCAUCCAGGAGAAGGUCCUCUUGUUGAUCCAGGCGUGGGCUGAUGCCUUCCGUCACCAGCCAGAGCUCUCGGGAGUCAGUCAGGUUUAUGCAGAGCUCAAACACAAAGGCGUGGAGUUCCCCAUGACCAACCUGGACACCAUGGCCCCCAUCAUCACACCUCAGCGGACAGCUGCUCCUGAGCCCCGUCCUCCCCGUGUACCUCCAGGAAAUGCUACAUCACCCCGCCGCCAGACUGCUCACCAACCUGCAACCACUCCAGCUGCCCCUGUCUCCUUGACAGCUGAACAACGAGCAAAGUUGCACAGCGAACUGGAUGUAGUGGAGUCAAAUGCUAAAGUCUUGGGGGAGAUGCUAGGUGAAUUGAGCCCUGGCAAGGAACACCAGGAUGAUGUACAAUUGUUGCAGGAGCUACAUGCAACGUGUCGAGCAAUGCAGCAGCGUGUGGUUGAGCUUGUGGGCCGCGUCAGUGAUGACAUUCUGACGGCAGACCUCCUUCGUAUCAAUGAUGAUCUUAAUAAUCUCUUUCUCAGAUAUGAUCGACACAUGAACAAGGUAAAAGGUAUCAGUAGUCCCACUAAAUCUCCACAGCAACAACCCACUCCACAGCCUCCACAACUGCCACCUCCACAACGACCUACACAACAAGAAGUGUCACUAAUAGACCUUGCUGAUGAGGCGCCCUCAGCCCAGCUGGCCACUCUCACUGUAGGAAACUCCCCAAAGGCGAAGAAAAAUGAAGAUGCCGACUUUGAUAUGUUUGCACAAUCACGAACAGCUACUUACGAAAAUAACAAGACCAGUGGGAGCACAUACUUGGACAACAGCGAGAUGGACGUUACAUCAGUGUCUCUGGGUCGCGCGGCACAGUUGAGAAACAAUCCAUAAAUCAGUGAAGUGACGAUGGCAACUUAAAGACAGUGACUUUGACGAGAUGGAGGCGUGGCUGAACGAACAACCAAAUGAAGCAAAACCCGGAGCAGGUGCAAAAGAGGAAAGCAUCUCAUCAUCUGAAUUUGACCGCUUUUUGGCC
Molecule: unclassified non-coding RNA, 1467 nt
Filed under: Homarus americanus (American lobster)
Lineage: Eukaryota; Metazoa; Arthropoda; Malacostraca; Decapoda; Nephropidae
Description: tOM1-like protein 2, transcript variant X5
Source: RNAcentral